AACGAACGCUGGCGGCAUGCCUAACACAUGCAAGUCGAACGAGACCUUCGGGUCUAGUGGCGCACGGGUGCGUAACGCGUGGGAACCUGCCCUUAGGUUCGGAAUAACUCCCCGAAAGGGGUGCUAAUACCGGAUAAUGUCUUCGGACCAAAGAUUUAUCGCCUUUGGAUGGGCCCGCGUUGGAUUAGCUAGUUGGUAGGGUAAAAGCCUACCAAGGCGACGAUCCAUAGCUGGUCUGAGAGGAUGAUCAGCCACACUGGGACUGAGACACGGCCCAGACUCCUACGGGAGGCAGCAGUGGAUAAUAUUGGACAAUGGGCGAAAGCCUGAUCCAGCAAUGCCGCGUGAGUGAUGAAGGCCUUAGGGUUGUAAAGCUCUUUUACCCGGGAUGAUAAUGACAGUACCGGGAGAAUAAGCUCCGGCUAACUCCGUG
RNAcentral lists this ribosomal RNA (433 nucleotides) under uncultured bacterium. RNAcentral describes it as "partial 16S ribosomal RNA". It matches the Rfam family "Bacterial small subunit ribosomal RNA", at positions 29 to 507 of the family's 1533-position model. The record is from RNAcentral.